Molecule: unclassified non-coding RNA, 396 nt
Filed under: Hevea brasiliensis (rubber tree)
Lineage: Eukaryota; Viridiplantae; Streptophyta; Magnoliopsida; Malpighiales; Euphorbiaceae
Source: RNAcentral
GGCAAUAGUAUCCAGCCUGCUGACUUAAUGGUGCAAUUGGAGUAACCACCUGAGUCUUUCCUAACCGAGAUUCGAGGUCCACUUGAUAAUCUCUUGGUUUCAAGGGCUUCCUCUGCACUGGAGGUCCUUUUGACUUUGAUUUCCGACCAUCAGCCUCCUCUUCAUCGCGUUCACGAGCACGCUGCAAAAUCUCUUCUCUGUCGAACUUUUUUCGAGAAGUAUUAUCAACUCCAACAACAUGAUUGCUGGAUUGAUCCAUUGCUUGGGGAAUUGGACCAGUUGCUGGGACCGCUAGUUGAGAACAACUUGUGGAAUCGACAGAGAAUUACAAGGCCCGACCACGAAAAUGAAUGAAGAAUUGUAAAAACCCUAGGUUCGAUUUUGUGUUCAACAAAG